Molecule: ribosomal RNA, 207 nt
Filed under: uncultured bacterium
Lineage: Bacteria
Description: partial 16S ribosomal RNA
Rfam family: Bacterial small subunit ribosomal RNA
Source: RNAcentral
CACGUAGGCGGACUCUUAAGUCAGGGGUGAAAUCCCGGAGCUCAACUCCAGAACUGCCUUUGAUACUGGGAGCCUUGAGUUCGGGAGAGGUGAGUGGAACUGCGAGUGUAGAGGUGAAAUUCGUAGAUAUUCGCAAGAACACCAGUGGCGAAGGCGGCUCACUGGCCCGAUACUGACGCUGAGGUGCGAAAGCGUGGGGAGCAAACA